GACGAACGCUGGCGGCGUGCUUAACACAUGCAAGUCGAACGAAGAGCGAUGGAAGCUUGCUUCUAUCAAUCUUAGUGGCGAACGGGUGAGUAACGCGUAAUCAACCUGCCCUUCAGAGGGGGACAACAGUUGGAAACGACUGCUAAUACCGCAUACGAUCUAAUCUCGGCAUCGAGGAUAGAUGAAAGGUGGCCUCUACAUGUAAGCUAUCACUGAAGGAGGGGAUUGCGUCUGAUUAGCUAGUUGGAGGGGUAACGGCCCACCAAGGCGAUGAUCAGUAGCCGGUCUGAGAGGAUGAACGGCCACAUUGGGACUGAGACACGGCCCAGACUCCUACGGGAGGCAGCAGUGGGGAAUCUUCCGCAAUGGACGAAAGUCUGACGGAGCAGCGCCGCGUGAGUGAUGACGGCCUUCGGGUUGUAAAGCUCGGUUAAUCGGGACGAAAGGCCUUCUUGCGAAUAGUGAGAAGGAUUGACGGUACCGGAAUAGAAAGCCACGGCUAACUACGUG
RNAcentral lists this ribosomal RNA (510 nucleotides) under uncultured bacterium. Its description in RNAcentral is "partial 16S ribosomal RNA". It matches the Rfam family "Bacterial small subunit ribosomal RNA", at positions 28 to 507 of the family's 1533-position model. The record is from RNAcentral.